UGCCAAGGUUUGGCUUAGCAGAGGCUGAAACUGGGUGAGCAAGGUAUCUAAUCCAUGGUGAUACCGGGAGGAGGCAGGGCUGAAGUGCUGCCAGACUCCAAAGGUCCCAGGACAAAAGUGGAGUAAACUGCAGAUCUGAAAGGGAAAUAUUCAUCUUAAAAACAAAAAAAGAAGAAAGAGGGAGCAAAAAUCCAGUAAAAGGCCAGGUGAAAAGAGAGCAGAAUAAAACAAGGUGGAAAGCAAAGUGAGACGGGUGGUUCCUGAUGGUCAGAUUUUCCAGUCGCCGGUUCCAGGACACUGCAGAGACCAUGCAGCGGGGGGAUGGCCACCGCACUUGGACACGAUUCAUUCCAUCCUCUUGAUUCUCUGAACUCUCUUCUUGAAUCAUGGUGCCGUGGUCCCCUCUGCAAAGACACAGCUCUUUCAACACACCCCGAGGAGGACAAAAGGAGGAAUAGGGUGGAACAGACCCCCGGAGCUCGGUCCUGCAGUGUUGGAAACAUCGCCCAACUCUAGGUUUCGGCUUGCUCACCCGGGAAUGGAGCCGGCGGUGGAGGAAGUGAAUUAGAAAACAUCUGAGAUUCUUUCCACCUCUGAAAUUUUAGACGGCUGUCUGGUAAAUUGAUUAAAUUAUCGGAACGCCAGCCUCCUCGCCGACCAGGUGAGGGCUGCUGUGUACGGCUGCGCUGAAGCUCUCGGGCUUUUCUUACACGACUGCACAUGAAGCCCUGCGAACCCAGUGACGCGACUCGGACGGCUCCCCACCAAGCUGGAGCAAAG
This is a non-coding RNA of Vicugna pacos (alpaca), 780 nucleotides long. NCBI's taxonomy places the organism in Eukaryota, Metazoa, Chordata, Mammalia, Artiodactyla, Camelidae. The record is from RefSeq and is a predicted model, not a curated record.